CUUUUGAUAAAAAACUUGAAUGUACUAGAUUCCUAAACACCUAAACACUUGGGAGGAUACUAGCCAAUACCCAGUCUUUAAACCAACCUCUCUUUUUGAGAUUUGCAAGUCUGCACGAUACAGUGAAAACUUGAGGAGCCUAAAAUCGCUGAAAACUAGGAAAAGAUGGAGAAAUAGCCUGAAUUGCUGACUCAAAAGCCACAACCGACUGCAUAUACCCUACAACCUAUCGAUUGUGCGCAUAGCUGAUCAGUUGUGCAUCCAUAGAUCGCCCGAUUUUGCCGAUUUUUGUGCUUUUAUGCCGUUUUAGCCCUUUCUUUUUUGCCAAUAGCUGUAGGAGAGUUGCAAUUUUUAUUUCUUUUUCUUUCUUUUUAUUUUUAUUUUCCUUUAUUUUUUGUACUUUAUAAUAAUUAAUGAAAAAUAUGUGAUUGAUGAUUGAUAACUACAA
Molecule: long non-coding RNA, 448 nt
Organism: Ricinus communis (castor bean)
Lineage: Eukaryota; Viridiplantae; Streptophyta; Magnoliopsida; Malpighiales; Euphorbiaceae
Exons: 2
Source: RefSeq, a predicted model, not a curated record